CGCCAGACUCCUACGGGAGGCAGCAGUCGGGAAUAUUGCGCAAUGGAGGAAACUCUGACGCAGUGACGCCGCGUAUAGGAAGAAGGUUUUCGGAUUGUAAACUAUUGUCGUUAGGGAAGAUAAAAGACUGUACCUAAGGAGGAAGCCCCGGCUAACUAUGUGCCAGCAGCCGCGGUAAUACGUAGGUGGCGAGCGUUGUCCGGAAUUACUGGGUGUAAAGGGAGCGUAGGCGGGAGAGCAAGUCGACUGUGAAAUCUAUGGGCUUAACCCAUAGCUGCGAUCGAAACUGUUCAUCUUGAGUGAAGUAGAGGCAGGCGGAAUUCCUAGUGUAGCGGUGAAAUGCGUAAAUAUUAGGAGGAACACCAGUGGCGAAGGCGGCCUGCUGGGCUUUAACUGACGCUGAGGCUCGAAAGCGUGGGUAGCAAACAGGAUUAGAUACCCGUGUAAA
RNAcentral lists this ribosomal RNA (448 nucleotides) under uncultured bacterium. Its description in RNAcentral is "bacterial SSU rRNA". It matches the Rfam family "Bacterial small subunit ribosomal RNA", at positions 329 to 793 of the family's 1533-position model. The record is from RNAcentral.